GUCUACGGACAUGCUACCCUGAACAAACCCAAUCCCGUCUGACCUCGGAAGAAGCAAGGUCGGGCCUGGUUAGUACUUGGAUGGGAGACCACCUAGGAAGACCGGGUAUUGUAGGCG
This 117-nucleotide ribosomal RNA is filed under the name Pteropus alecto (black flying fox). Lineage: Eukaryota; Metazoa; Chordata; Mammalia; Chiroptera; Pteropodidae. The record is from RNAcentral.